UGAAGGAGGAGCUUGCUUCUCCGGAUGAGUUGCGAACGGGUGAGUAACGCGUAGGUAACCUGCCUGGUAGCGGGGGAUAACUAUUGGAAACGAUAGCUAAUACCGCAUAAUAGUAGAUGUUGCAUGACAUUUGCUUAAAAGGUGCAAUUGCAUCACUACCAGAUGGACCUGCGUUGCAUUAGCUAGUUGGUGGGGUAACGGCUCACCAAGGCGACGAUACAUAGCCGACCUGAGAGGGUGAUCGGCCACACUGGGACUGAGACACGGCCCAGACUCCUACGGGAGGCAGCAGUAGGGAAUCUUCGGCAAUGGACGGAAGUCUGACCGAGCAACGCCGCGUGAGUGAAGAAGGUUUUCGGAUCGUAAAGCUCUGUUGUAAGAGAAGAACGAGUGUGAGAGUGGAAAGUUCACACUGUGACGGUAUCUUACCAGAAAGGGACGGCUAACUACGUGCCAGCAGCCGCGGUAAUACGUAGGUCCCGAGCGUUGUCCGGAUUUAUUGGGCGUAAAGCGAGCGCAGGCGGUUAGAUAAGUCUGAAGUUAAAGGCUGUGGCUUAACCAUAGUACGCUUUGGAAACUGUUUAACUUGAGUGCAAGAGGGGAGAGUGGAAUUCCAUGUGUAGCGGUGAAAUGCGUAGAUAUAUGGAGGAACACCGGUGGCGAAAGCGGCUCUCUGGCUUGUAACUGACGCUGAGGCUCGAAAGCGUGGGGAGCAAACAG
This 720-nucleotide ribosomal RNA is filed under the name uncultured Bacilli bacterium. RNAcentral's name for it is "bacterial SSU rRNA". It matches the Rfam family "Bacterial small subunit ribosomal RNA", at positions 68 to 775 of the family's 1533-position model. Lineage: Bacteria; Bacillati; Bacillota; Bacilli. The record is from RNAcentral.